This 69-nucleotide transfer RNA is filed under the name Hypsopygia regina. RNAcentral's name for it is "tRNA-Cys". Lineage: Eukaryota; Metazoa; Arthropoda; Insecta; Lepidoptera; Pyralidae. The record is from RNAcentral.
AGCUUUAUAGUCAUUGAAUGAUAUAAAAUUGCAAAUUUUAAGGAAUAAUGAAAUUAUUUAUUAAGGCUU